UACGUAGGGUGCAAGCGUUGUCCGGAAUCACUGGGUGUAAAGGGUCCGCAGGCGGGCAAGCAAGUCGGUGGUGAAAUCUCGUAGCUCAACUACGAAACUGCCUUCGAUACUGCUUGUCUUGAGUUCGAGAGAGGAUGAUGGAAUUCAUGGUGUAGCGGUGAAAUGCGUAGAGAUCAUGAAGAACACCGGUAGCGAAGGCGGUCAUCUGGCUCGAUACUGACGCUCAGGGACGAAAGCGUGGGGAGCAAAC
This 250-nucleotide ribosomal RNA is filed under the name uncultured bacterium. RNAcentral describes it as "partial 16S ribosomal RNA". It matches the Rfam family "Bacterial small subunit ribosomal RNA", at positions 524 to 773 of the family's 1533-position model. The record is from RNAcentral.